GUAUUGAUGAAGAGUUCCAAACGAGGACGAAGCAACUGUCCAAUAC
This 46-nucleotide non-coding RNA is filed under the name Trichobilharzia regenti. Lineage: Eukaryota; Metazoa; Platyhelminthes; Trematoda; Strigeidida; Schistosomatidae. The record is from RNAcentral.